Non-coding RNA from Phalacrocorax carbo (great cormorant), 480 nucleotides. Lineage: Eukaryota; Metazoa; Chordata; Aves; Suliformes; Phalacrocoracidae. The record is from RefSeq and is a predicted model, not a curated record.
AGUGGGCAGGCGGGUCCGCGCGUCAAAAUCGGGGCCUUCUGUCCACGCUGAGCAACCUCCUCACCUGGCCCACAGUCAGACUGCGCCCGGGCUCUCCAGAAGCCGGCUGAAGUCAACGGGAUUUAUUAUUUAUGCCCGUAUCCUAGGUCUAACCCGCAUAGGGGUUACCACAAGAGGGCAGUUGUGCAACACGCCUGGCAAGCACCAACCCCCAGCUGACCAGGCACCUUGCCAAGCCGUCCCUGCUGAGCUGGCUGGCCUAGAGAUCAUCUGCCCACUGUACGAGCAGUGAUGGAGGCGACCAAACCCCAGGAUGCUCUUGGGAACGUUGAUCUUGUGCAUCGGAAAAAACCUGUUGACUUCAGGGCCACAUACAGGCAACUGUCUUCUUCCUCCAGUUUAAAUGCUUGUGAUCGCUCCUUUUCUAAAAUAGGAUUAGUUCUUCCGUUGUCUUAGUGAUAAUAAAGAACUUCUGACAUA